AGAUUGAACGCUGGCGGCAGGCCUAACACAUGCAAGUCGAGCGGUAGAGAGGUGCUUGCACCUCUUGAGAGCGGCGGACGGGUGAGUAAUGCCUAGGAAUCUGCCUAGUGGUGGGGGAUAACGUUCGGAAACGGACGCUAAUACCGCAUACGUCCUACGGGAGAAAGCGGGGGAUCUUCGGGCCUCGCGCCAUUAGAUGAGCCUAGGUCGGAUUAGCUAGUUGGUGAGGUAAUGGCUCACCAAGGCGACGAUCCGUAACUGGUCUGAGAGGAUGAUCAGUCACACUGGAACUGAGACACGGUCCAGACUCCUACGGGAGGCAGCAGUGGGGAAUAGUUGGAC
This 342-nucleotide ribosomal RNA is filed under the name uncultured soil bacterium. RNAcentral's name for it is "bacterial SSU rRNA". It matches the Rfam family "Bacterial small subunit ribosomal RNA", at positions 26 to 370 of the family's 1533-position model. The record is from RNAcentral.